AAAUUAGGUUUUUGUCAUUGUAGGGUCUUCAUCCGCCAACAUUCAAGCCGGAAAUUUAAGAUACAAGGAAGAAAUUGAUGAAGAAGAUGAAGUUUACAAUUACAGAAUUACUAUGACUUAUGAUUAUGUUAUUUUAGGAACACUUGUUAGAGUUGAUACACAAGUAUCUUGUAAAUCUGUUUGGUUUGUUAAUUAUUCAUCAAUUAAUGAAAUAAACUACACCCCUUUAAUUCAAAAUAAUGAAUCGUGUAUCUUGACUUUUAAAAUCGAUGAAUACGUGUAUCUCAUGAAAAAUGAUACAUGUAUCUCAAUGCCAAAAUAUUCGAAAAUUUAAGAAACAAAAGAAGGAAUUAAUGAAGGAGAUGAAGUUUACAAUUACAAAAUUACUAUGAUUUAUGAUUUCAUUAUUUUAGGGAAGUUAACAAUUACAGAUGAAGUUUACAAUUAUAGAAUUACUAUGAUUUAUGAUUUCGUUAUUUUAGGAACACUUGUUAGAGUUGAUACACAAGUAUCUUGUAAAUCUGUUUGGUUUGUUAAUUAUUCAUCAAUUAAUGAAAUAAACUACACCCC
Molecule: long non-coding RNA, 570 nt
Filed under: Solanum tuberosum (potato)
Lineage: Eukaryota; Viridiplantae; Streptophyta; Magnoliopsida; Solanales; Solanaceae
Description: long non-coding RNA (STUB_LNC010170)
Source: RNAcentral